CACGUAGGGGGCGAGCGUUGUCCGGAUUCAUUGGGCGUAAAGGGCGCGCAGGCGGCCCGGAAAGUCGGAUGUGAAAACUCGAGGCUCAACCUCGAGCGUGCACCCGAUACUGCCGGGCUUGAGGCAGGUAGGGGAGAUCGGAAUUCCUGGUGUAGCGGUGAAAUGCGCAGAUAUCAGGAGGAACACCGGUGGCGAAGGCGGAUCUCUGGGCCUGUCCUGACGCUGAGGCGCGAAAGCUAGGGAGCGAACAGG
RNAcentral lists this ribosomal RNA (252 nucleotides) under uncultured bacterium. Its description in RNAcentral is "partial 16S ribosomal RNA". It matches the Rfam family "Bacterial small subunit ribosomal RNA", at positions 524 to 776 of the family's 1533-position model. The record is from RNAcentral.